GGUGGGUUGGCCGAGAGGCGAGGCAACGGACUGCAAAUCCGUGUACACCGGUUCAAAUCCGGUACCCACCUCCA
Molecule: transfer RNA, 74 nt
Filed under: Nocardioides sp.
Lineage: Bacteria; Bacillati; Actinomycetota; Actinomycetes; Propionibacteriales; Nocardioidaceae
Also listed under: 4 other names
Description: tRNA-Cys
Rfam family: tRNA
About the family: Transfer RNA (tRNA) molecules are approximately 80 nucleotides in length. Their secondary structure includes four short double-helical elements and three loops (D, anti-codon, and T loops).
Source: RNAcentral